RNAcentral lists this ribosomal RNA (253 nucleotides) under uncultured bacterium. RNAcentral's name for it is "partial 16S ribosomal RNA". It matches the Rfam family "Bacterial small subunit ribosomal RNA", at positions 524 to 776 of the family's 1533-position model. The record is from RNAcentral.
UACUGAGGGUGCGAGCGUUAAUCGGAAUUACUGGGCGUAAAGCGAGUGUAGGCGGUUACCUAAGUCGGAUGUGAAAUCCCCGGGCUUAACCUGGGAAUUGCAUUCGAUACUGGGUAACUAGAGUUUGGUAGAGGUAAGUGGAAUUCCGGGUGUAGCGGUGAAAUGCGUAGAUAUCCGGAGGAACAUCAGUGGCGAAGGCGGCUUACUGGACCAAAACUGACGCUGAGGCUCGAAAGCGUGGGUAGCAAACAGG